This 798-nucleotide long non-coding RNA is filed under the name Prunus persica (peach). RNAcentral's name for it is "long non-coding RNA (PPER_LNC001250)". Lineage: Eukaryota; Viridiplantae; Streptophyta; Magnoliopsida; Rosales; Rosaceae. The record is from RNAcentral.
GAGAGACUAAUAUAUAUAUUAAUUAAAAAGUACUAACAUAAAUAAUUAUUUGCCGAAAACGUUUUCUCUCAUACUCCAUAAGAAAUAACAAGCCACCAUUUUCUUAGUUGACCUAAACACGACACACAUAUGUAGACACAGAACCAAACCCCAUAUUUCACCAUGAAUAAUUGGCUUGCCAUUUUGAAUUUGACAACCAAAGUGGUGCAAUUUGAUAGGUUUUUGAACAUUGUCACUCACAUUCGCAAAAAAAGAAAAAAAAGAAGAAGAGAACUUUAUCACGUAGAAUGACAAAUGUUAACACAUACCUGCAGGCUGCAUAUAGAAAAUUCUAACACAUUAGUCCACCAUUUUUUUUAAUUGUGACGUACAUUUGUUUUUGAAAAAAUAGAAAAUAAGCGUCCCCUCUGGUUUCUGAAAAACCCUCAAGAAUGAGACAACAUUGGGGUUUUUUUAUAAAUAAAAUAGAAAAGAUAAAAAAUUACACCGAAAAAGCACCGAAAAUCUGAAGGACCUAUGAGAUUUGAGAGGGGGGUGAAGGAAGUCAGUGGAGUCAAAGGUUUGAUGACGGCGGAUGAGGUUUGACCCAAACAAGGCAGGCAGUCGUGUGACGUUUUUACAACUCUAAGUCUCUCUGCCGCUCUGUCUCUCUCUCUUUCUCUCUCAACAAUGUUGAAAUUGAACAUAGCCAUAGCUACCUAGCUACGUCUGUUUAUAUAAUUUAAAUAAUUUAAUAUCAGUAAUGGUCCAAACUUAAAAUAUUGAAUUGCUUCUUGGAAGGUAUUUGGCUAAUACCCG